GAUGGGAUCUUCCGAGACGGUGGAGACCAGUUGUUGCUCGCGCUCUCCAAACCCAGCCAAGGUUACACAGCAACGUUCGAUAUUGGGCUUCAGACAGCUUGAGCCGCACCGUGUAUCCCUGCUAGGAAUUUGCAAAAAAAGUUAACACACAGUUAAUGCACACCUGUGCAAAACUAAAAAUAACAGUUAUGCACACGUGUGCAAAAAGAGAGCCAAAGAAUUAUUUAAUAAAUCAACAUCGCAAAAGUAGGAACAUAUGUCUCAAACUCUAAAUUCCAUCGUUCAAGAUCAAAACAAUCCCCUACAUUCAUUAGAAGAAUGGGAAGAAGACUUGCUCAAUCGCUAUCCCGAUCCAAAUAGCAUCCUUAAAGAAGGUAAAACCAUUGAGGUGUACAGAAAUUACGAAACGCCUACCAGAGACACAGUCAAGGAAUUCUAUCGCUUAAAUC
RNAcentral lists this unclassified non-coding RNA (449 nucleotides) under plant metagenome. RNAcentral describes it as "partial contains 5.8S ribosomal RNA, internal transcribed spacer 2, and large subunit ribosomal RNA". The record is from RNAcentral.